Molecule: ribosomal RNA, 253 nt
Filed under: uncultured bacterium
Lineage: Bacteria
Description: partial 16S ribosomal RNA
Rfam family: Bacterial small subunit ribosomal RNA
Source: RNAcentral
UACGAAGGGGGCUAGCGUUGCUCGGAAUCACUGGGCGUAAAGCGCACGUAGGCGGCUUUUUAAGUCAGGGGUGAAAUCCUGGAGCUUAACUCCAGAACUGCCUUUGAUACUGAAGAGCUAGAGUCCGGAAGAGGUGAGUGGAACUGCGAGUGUAGAGGUGAAAUUCGUAGAUAUUCGCAAGAACACCAGUGGCGAAGGCGGCUCACUGGCCCGGAACUGACGCUGAGGUGCGAAAGCGUGGGGAGCAAACAGG